RNAcentral lists this ribosomal RNA (440 nucleotides) under uncultured bacterium. RNAcentral's name for it is "partial 16S ribosomal RNA". It matches the Rfam family "Bacterial small subunit ribosomal RNA", at positions 338 to 795 of the family's 1533-position model. The record is from RNAcentral.
CCUACGGGCGGCAGCAGUGGGGGAUAUUGCACAAUGGGGGGAACCCUGAUGCAGCGACGCCGCGUGGGUGAAGAAGCGCCUCGGCGCGUAAAGCCCUGUCAGCAGGGAAGAAAAUGACGGUACCUGAAGAAGAAGCCCCGGCUAACUACGUGCCAGCAGCCGCGGUAAUACGUAGGGGGCAAGCGUUAUCCGGAUUUACUGGGUGUAAAGGGGGCGCAGACGGCGAUGCAAGCCAGGAGUGAAAGCCCGGGGCCCAACCCCGGGACUGCUCUUGGAACUGCGUGGCUGGAGUGCAGGAGGGGCAGGCGGAAUUCCCGGUGUAGCGGUGAAAUGCGUAGAGAUCGGGAGGAACACCAGUGGCGAAGGCGGCCUACUGGGCUUUAACUGACGCUGAGGCACGAAAGCGUGGGUAGCAAACAGGAUUAGAUACCCGAGUAGUC